This is an RNA transcript of Catharus ustulatus (Swainson's thrush), 2881 nucleotides long. It is a transcript of the gene named TAFA chemokine like family member 5, with no coding region annotated. The record is from RefSeq and is a predicted model, not a curated record. The transcript has 7 exons. NCBI's taxonomy places the organism in Eukaryota, Metazoa, Chordata, Aves, Passeriformes, Turdidae.
AGCGGAGCGGGGGAAGGAGCGCUCUGCUCGGAGCGCUGAGCACCUGUGGGCGUGACCGCCGGCCCCCUCCUCCUCCUCCCGCUUCCCUUUACUUGAAGGGCCGGCGCUGCUGGAGCGGCAGAGCCUGAGCGCGGAGCGGGCGGCGCACGGAGAGGAGCGGACCCGCUGCCCACCCCCCGUAUAAAGUGUCCCGGCCGCCUCCGCCCCGUCGAGCCGCAGGACCGGCCGGGAGGGGAGCUCAGGCUGGACAGGCCGUGGGGGGCCGGGGCUGUGCUCGCCCUGCGGGCGCCGGGCCGGGGCGCGGAUCGCCCUCUCUGCGCGGAGCUGCCCGGCGGAGCCCUCCCGGCUGGCGGUGCCGCCGGGCUGCCCUCGCCCCUCGGUGGCCCCCGCGGCCAUGCUGGCCCGGGCUGGGGGGCGGCGGCGCCCUGAGCGGGGCUAGAGCCGCGGGCGGGCGGGGGAGGCGCCGCGUUAGCCCCGCCGGGGCCGCGCUCCGCCUGGGGGGGCUGCCCCGGGAGGGGAGCACGGCAAGGACAGCGAGCGGAGCAACUUCUGCAAAUUGAAAACAGGAGGGAAAUAAAUAAAAAAAAAGAGGCUCGUUCGUGGGACAUCUUCGAAGCUCAGUAUCACGCGAGGCAUCCAAACCGCAGUGAGCCCUCCAUGCUAGUGAAUCCCAGCACAGUGACCGGAGCGAGGCUGGCUGUGGCCACUGCUCCCGAGCCCCGCGUGCAUUAGAGUCGCAUUGGCUUUCCGGCUGGAAGAUGAUUCCUGCAACAGGACCAUGUUGCUGAUGAUGAGCAGCAGAGUCGCUGGAAGAUGCCUGCCUUGAGGAUUACACGUGGAGCAAGGCCAUCAGUCAAGGGGAGAGCUGGCUGCUGAGACUGACUGACUUUCCCCCCGCCGGGGAAGUGGCUUCAAUGGCUCCAUCUCCCAGGAGAAGCAGUAGGAAAGAUGCCAGCGCCUUGCCAAGCAUGUCCUCAACUUUCUGGGCUAUCAUGAUCCUGGCUAGUCUCCUAAUCGCUUACUGCAAUUAUAACAGCUAUUUUGGAGCGGAUAACCCUCAAUGGCUGUAUAUGAGACAUUGCCCGGGGUGCCUCCAAGAUGCUUUUGAGCUGGGUCAGCUGGCUGCAGGUACAUGUGAGAUUGUUACAUUGGACAGAGAUAGCAGUCAGCCCCGAAGGACUAUAGCCCGACAAACAGCUCGCUGUGCAUGUAAAAAAGGACAGAUUGCCGGUACAACACGAGCAAGGCCAGCGUGUGUUGAUGCACGAAUUAUCAAAACAAAACAGUGGUGUGAAAUGCUUCCAUGUUUAGAAGGAGAAGGCUGUGAUUUGCUAAUCAAUAAAUCAGGCUGGACCUGUACACAACCAGGAGGACGGAUAAAGACAACCACGACUGAAGAUCAGCUGGACAUAUCCUGAGGCCAUGGUCUAGUGAUCUGAGCUUGGGAACUGGGAGCCAGAAACUCUUGAGCUCUAAUCCUGGCUCUGACAGUGACUCCCUCUGUGGCCUUGGCCUGUCUGAGGCCAUGUGGUUUGGAGAUCUGAUCACUAGUCCGAAAAGAAAAGGCUGUUUGCAAGAUUUCUGGGGUGUUUUUUCCUGGAAAAGGUCUCCUGACAAAUGCAGCAACACAGAAUCCUCGUAGGAGUGGUUUAGGCUCUCUGUGAGCUACUUAACUUAGUCAAGUUUCACUGCUGUUGAUCAUCAUCUGUUAUAUGUCAUCAACUCAACUGUCUGUUUCUCUGUAUCUCAUAAAUGACAGCAUAAUUCCUCUGCAUUAUGAGCUAAAGUUUGUUCUACCAUUCUAAGGAUCACUGGACUAAGGAAUAUAGAAAAAGAGAUAUGCUUGGGCAUUAGCAAUACAAAAAAGUUCAUGGUUAACGUUUCAUCUACGUUAUACACCACUGCUGGACUUGCUGUUACCUACAUGUUUCAAUCUGAAGAGUCUGCUACAAUGAAGAGUAUCAUCCCAAUCAGCCUUAGAGAAGACUGUUUUGCCUAUGGGAGGACACUGAGGUGCAAAAGAGAAACUCUUCUUGUGCCCUAAACUGUCUGAAUUGCUUUUAUUUUCUUAUACUUUCAGUAUUUACAAUAGACCAAAGAGCAAAAUCUAUUUUAAAGUGGACACAAUCUUACUCUUAAGAGAGUUAUGUCAUUAAAUUGAAGGAGGUCUCCACAAAGACAUUAUUCCAGCUUUCACAAAGCUGAAAUGUUGUCCAGCAGAAGUCUUUAUGGAAAGCUGAAUUAAAAACUAACUCAGAGACCUGCUCUUGAAAUGCCAUGUUCAAGAGAAUGUAAUGGAGCACUGAGAGAAAAUGACCUGUUUGAAAAACGUGGACAAAAAGAAAACACAGACUGUCUACACAGCACCUUUAUUCCUCUGUACUUAGAUUGACUUUCUCGUACUAAAAUCAUUUUCCGUUUUAACCAGUUAAACAUGCCUCUUCUACAGUUCCAUUUUUGAUAGUUAAAGUUGGAUAAUACAGUAUUUGCAAAGAGCAUGUUUGGUCAUCUGUGGCCUAUGUCUCAUCUGAUACACCAUUUAGCACCAGAAAGCAAAUUAAAGAGAAAACAAAAGUAACACUUGUUUGAAAGAGAUCAUUAAAUGUAUUUUGAAAAGCCUAAAGUUAUAUAUUUAACAGUUUUUAUAUGUUGUAUAUUUGUAGAAAAUCCUAUUUAACAAUUAACGUGAUAACUCUGACAGUCAUGAAAAGUGGUUCAGAGUUAAGUUGUGUUUUAUUACUUCAGUUGUCUCUGAAGUGACCGGUGUCGUUUGCUUUCUUCCAUUGGGACAUUCUGGAUGUAAAGCAUGACCAGAGAGGACUGUGUAGAAAAAGCAAAGAAUAAUGUUGUUUAUAUUACAUAAAUGCAUUCAACCAUUGCA